UAAACGCCGUAGCUUGACACAGAGCCAUAGUUCAGUAUACUGUAUAAGGCACUGUGCCAAGCUGCGGCAUCUA
Molecule: microRNA precursor, 73 nt
Filed under: Picea abies (Norway spruce)
Lineage: Eukaryota; Viridiplantae; Streptophyta; Pinopsida; Pinales; Pinaceae
Description: miR11477 stem-loop (pab-MIR11477)
Source: miRBase by way of RNAcentral